RNAcentral lists this transfer RNA (65 nucleotides) under Metcalfiella monogramma. RNAcentral's name for it is "tRNA-Leu". Lineage: Eukaryota; Metazoa; Arthropoda; Insecta; Hemiptera; Membracidae. The record is from RNAcentral.
UCUAGUGUGACAGAGCAAUGUGAUGAAUUUAAAAUUCAUUUAUAAAUAAUUAUAUUUCAUUAGAA